UUGAUGAGAAGGAGGAAGGAGGACGUAUUUGAAGACAACAACCAAAAAACAUUAAACGAGAACAUAUUGAACCACUAAAAAACACAGAGGGUGUUACUGUUUUGGAUUGUCUCGCUUUUUCUCAAAUCUGAGUGAGAUGUCUUCAGCCCAUUGAAACUGCUAUCCUGCCGUAUACAAUGAUGUU
Molecule: long non-coding RNA, 184 nt
Organism: Etheostoma spectabile (orangethroat darter)
Lineage: Eukaryota; Metazoa; Chordata; Actinopteri; Perciformes; Percidae
Exons: 2
Source: RefSeq, a predicted model, not a curated record